Molecule: long non-coding RNA, 1102 nt
Organism: Bubalus bubalis (water buffalo)
Lineage: Eukaryota; Metazoa; Chordata; Mammalia; Artiodactyla; Bovidae
Exons: 2
Source: RefSeq, a predicted model, not a curated record
CACAUAAAAUCACUAUAUACUGUGGACUACAAAUGGGCCCAGUCACUGCUGCUGAGAGCUGUAAGCCUCCGCCAACCACAAAGCUGACUUCCAGGCAGGUCAUGCCACUUGGACAGAAUGAGAGCACAAUAUCAAAACUCCAAGAAACUGACAUGCUAUGUUGGUUUGCUGUGACCGAGGGGCUGCUGCUGCUGCUGCUGCUGCCGUUUAGUUGCUAAGCCCUGUCUGACUCUCUGUGACCCCACGGACUGAAGCCCGCCAGGCACUUCUGUCCAUGAAAUGCUCCAGGCAAGAAUACUAGAGUGGAUUGCCAUUUCCUGCUCCAGGGGAUCUUCCCCACCCAGGGAUCCAACCCAUGUCUCCUGCUUGGCAGGCAGAUUAUUUACCACUGAGCUACAUGGAAAGCCUCAUGACCCAGGGAAGAGAUAUGCAAAACACCCACGUUUAUUUGAACUGACUCUGAAACUCCAUUUCCAGUCAUUUAGCAAGUCUAGCUCAGCAGUCUGCCAUGGAGCAUCAGUACUGGAUUGUUCCUCAAUCUCGUCACGCCUCCCUGUGACUUGUCCUCCCAGUGCACUCUGCAGAGGCUGCUGUCUCCUCUAUUUCCUAUUCCUGGGCUGCUGGAUCUGUUACUUUAAACAGAAUGAGAAACAGCUGAUUUGCUAUCUUUCUCUUCUUAAAGGCACUUCAAAGUCAUUACUUUAUGGAAGCUACCAUAUAAAUCUCCUCUCUUGUUAUUCUUCUGAAUAUCUUCUCCUUUAACUUUCUGUAUGUCCUUUCCUAAUCUUCCAUACUACGUUGAAAAGUAGCCAGCCUCUCCUGAUAAUGUGCUAUUGAUGGAUCUGCACUAGUCUAUUCCCAGCCCCUUAUAAAUCUUACUUGAAACAAUAAAAGUAUUCAUAAGAUCAUUUCCUGAAUAUAUUACAUUUAAUCUAAAAUUUAACUCAUUUCUCCAUUUGCAUCAAUCUAUGUCUUCAAGUUUAAAAACAUUUCAAUUUAACUGCCUCCACAAAAUGGCAAUAAGAAAUAUUUCAUUAUCCCUAGAUGGAUGUGAUGUUUCAAUAUUUUUGGUUGUUUUUUUUUUUUACAUUAAUAAACUCUU